RNAcentral lists this long non-coding RNA (1237 nucleotides) under Homo sapiens (human). RNAcentral's name for it is "long intergenic non-protein coding RNA 905". The record is from RNAcentral. Lineage: Eukaryota; Metazoa; Chordata; Mammalia; Primates; Hominidae.
AGUGGGGGCCUGGUCAGUGGAGACCUAGGCCAUCAGUGGGUCCUGGAUAGUGAGGCCUGGUCAUUGGGGUCCUGGCCAGAGCGCCCAAAGAACUCGUGUCCCGCGCUCCUGAACGCCAUCAGCCGCCGCACCUCCAUCUUCCCUCCUCCCACGAGUCUCCUGCUCCCCGUGACUCUGGCCUCCUCGCAGUGUUGCUGGGCCACGUCAGGAAGUGCUGGAGGACGUGGCAUUGCACCAACACCAGGCGGCCAGCCGUGUGGCUCAUCCCGCAAAUCAGGCUCUUCCUGUGCAUGGAGAUGGAGUCCCUCUGGAGGCAGCCCGUGGCCCUGUUCUCGGGCAGGUGGAGCAUGGAGACGACUGGGAACUUCACUAGACACGCAUCCAGCCGGUUCAAGGGCUUGUCGCGCCGUGCACCAGCUUGCAGGAGAAAGCCCAACGCCUCGCCAAGCACGAAGGCCUCCCUUCCCGACUUGAUGAAGGCAGAGUAGCGGUUGAGGUUGCGGCUCACAGUGACCGAGCUCCUGCCCACGUGGGGACCCAGGGAGCCGUCGAGCUCCAGCCCAGGCUUGGACCUGAAGAAGCUGGCAACCCGCGAACGCCAACAGGCACAGUCGAAAAAAGCAAAAGAAAAAUCCCAAACAAAAUCCUGUUCUCCCUAGCCAAAGGACCAGGAGAGGGGGCAGCCCAGCAAGACAAAACACAUUUACACAAUUCUGGCUAACCUCAGCCAGUCCUUGGCCGUGAGUUCGUUUUUCUGCCACCUCACUUUGGGGCUGGGCUGGUUCUCCACCCUCGCAGGGUGCGUUUCUCAAUCCAGACGCUGGGGGGCGCUAGUACCUCGCGAGCUCCGCGAGGAUCAUUCCCGGGACGCCGCGGAGUCACCUCCCCUCCUAGGGACCCAGAGCUUCCCAGGGCCGCGCCUGUAGGUUUUCCAGAGGUCCCCGAAAACGUUAAAGACCUGGAAGGAAAAAAAAACUGUAAAACCACACACUUUGAUAUUUGACAACGUAAAAGCAAGGCUGCAAAAUCAAAAUCAAUGAACGCUUGAAGGAAAUGUCUACUUAGCUAGACAUAGUGCCACCUGGAUUCACUGUUGGCUCCAGAAUCCCCCCCACGGUGUCAUCACGUUGGAAAGUUUUUGUGGGUUAGAUGUUCUCUGUUGGCAAGAAUGCCUGUACAUGCCCAAGAAGCAUAUGAGUUUAAUGGGACCCCAAUAACUUCAAAAGCAAAAAGAUAA